UAUGGGAUAUGGGGACAUCUAUGGGGUUAUGGGGACAUCUAUGGGAUAUGGGGACAUCUAUGGGAUAUGGGGACAUCAAUGCCCCCCCAUCUCACCGUUCCCGCCGCCCCCCCCCGCGGUGCCGCCGCUCCCGCAGCUCCGCCUCCAUCGCUUCCAGCUCCCCGCGCAGCCGCCGCAGCCGCGCCGCGUUGCGUUCGGCCGCCGCCGCCAGGCGCUGCCCCACAGGCGGCCCCAUAGGAGACCCCAUAGGAGACCCCAUAGGAGACCCCACAGGCGGCCCCACAGGCGGCCCCAUAGGCUGCGCCACCUGGGGACGUGUGGGUCCGUAUGGGGUCAUGGGGAUGGAUGGGGAUAUGGGGGGAUAUAUGGGAUGGAUGGGGUCAGUGGGGGCGUAUGGGGUAUAUGGGAUAUAUGGGAAAUAUGGGGUCAUAUGGGGAUAUAUGGGAUAUAUGGGGUAUAUGGGGUCAUAUGGGGAAAUAUGGGGAUAUAUGGGAUAUAUGGGGUCAUAUGGGGUCAUAUGGGGAUAUAUGAGGUCAUAUGGGGUCAUAUGGGGAUAUAUGAGAUAUAUGGGAUGUAUGGGGUCAUAUGGGGAUAUAUGGGAUAUAUGGGAUGGAUGGGGUCAGUUGGGGACAUAUGGGGAUAUAUGGGAUAUAUGGGGUCAUAUGGGGAUAUAUGGGAUAUAUGGGAUGGAUGGGGUCAGUGGGGGCGUAUGGGGAGAUAUGGGAAUAUAUGGGAUAUAUGGGGUCAUAUGGGGGAUAUAUGGGGACACAUGGGGAUAUAGGGGGAUAUAUGGGAUGUAUGGGGAUAUAUGGGGUCAUAUGGGGGAUAUAUGGGAAUACAUGGGACAUAUGGGGAUAUAUGGGAUAUACGAGGAUAUAUGGGGUCAUAUGGGGACACAUGGGGACACAUGGGAUAUAUGGAGUCAUAUGGGGACAUAUGGGGUCAUAUGGGGAUAUAUGGGAUAUAUGGGGUCAUAUGGGGUCAUAUGGGGAUAUAUAGGAUAUAUGGGGGCAUACGGGGAUAUAUGAGGUCAUAUGGGGAUACAUGGGGAUAUAUGGGAUAUAUGGGGAUAUAUGGGGUCACAUGGGGACAUAUGGGGAUAUAGGGGGAUAUAUGGGAUGUAUGGGGUCAGUGGGAUGUAUGGGGUCAGUGGAAUAUAUGGGGUCAAUGGGGACAUAUGGGGUUAUAUGAGGUCAUAUGACCCCAUACAUCCCCAUACAUCCCCAUAUAUCGCACUGACCCCAUAUGUGGGGCACGUGGGGAUAUAUGGGGUCAUAUGGGGAUAUAUGGGGACACAUGGGGGUAUAUAGGAUAUAUGGGGUUAUAUGGGGUCAUAUGGGGUCACACGGGGAUAUAUGGGGACACAUGGGGGUAUAUGGGAUAUAUGGGGUCAUAUGGGGGUAUAUGGGAUAUAUGGGGUUAUAUGGGGUCAUAUGGGGAUAUAUGGGGUCAUAUGGGGAUAUAUGGGGUCAAUGGGGAUAUAUGGGGUCAUAUGGGGAUAUAUGGGGUCAAUGGGACAUACGGGGACAUGGGGAUAUAUGGGAUUAUAUGGGGUCAUGUGGGGAUAUAUGACAUAUAUGGGAUAUAUGGGGUCAUAUGGGGAUAUAGGGGAAUAUAUGGGAUAUAUGGGGACACAUGGGGUCAUAUGGGGAUAUAUGGGGGCAUAUGGGGGCACAUGAGGAUAUAUGGGGUCAUGUGGAGAUAUAUGGGGACAAGUGGGGACAUAUGGGGUCAUAUGGGAAUAUAUGGGGACAUAUGGGGACAAAUAGGGACAAAUGGGGACACAUGGGGAUAUAUGAGGCUAUAUGGGGACGUACGGGGACAUAUGGGAUAUAUGGGGACAUAUGGGGGCAUAUGGGGACAAAUGGGGACACACAGGGACAUAUGGGGUCAUGGAGACAUAUGGGGAUAUAUGGGGUCAUGGGGACACAUGGGGAUGUAUGGGGACAAAAGGGGACAUAUGGGGAUAUAGGGGAAUACAGGGGGGUAUAUGGGGACGUGUGGGGACAUGUGGGGACAAAUGGGGGC
RNAcentral lists this long non-coding RNA (2028 nucleotides) under Phasianus colchicus (ring-necked pheasant). Its description in RNAcentral is "lncRNA (ENSPCLG00000019710.1)". Lineage: Eukaryota; Metazoa; Chordata; Aves; Galliformes; Phasianidae. The record is from RNAcentral.